CUCUGAGACAGGUGCUGCAUGGCUGUCGUCAGCUCGUGUUGUGAAAUGUUGGGUUAAGUCCCGCAACGAGCGCAACCCUUAUCCUUGUUUGCCAGCGAGUCAUGUCGGGAACUCCAGGGAGACUGCCGGUGAUAAACCGGAGGAAGGUGGGGACGACGUCAAGUCAUCAUGGCCCUUACGAGUAGGGCUACACACGUGCUACAAUGGCGCAUACAGAGGGCAGCAAGCUAGCGAUAGUGAGCGAAUCCCAAAAAGUGCGUCGUAGUCCGGAUUGGAGUCUGCAACUCGACUCCAUGAAGUCGGAAUCGCUAGUAAUCGUGAAUCAGAAUGUCACGGUGAAUACGUUCCCGGGCCUUGUACACACCGCCCGUCACACCAUGGGAGUGGGCUGCAAAAGAAGUGGGUAGUUUAACCUUUCGGGGAGGACGCUCACCACUUUGUGGUUCAUGACUGGGGUGAAGUCGUAACAAGGUAGCCCUAGGGGAACCUGGGGCUGGAUCACCUCCUUAUACGAAGAUAC
Molecule: ribosomal RNA, 520 nt
Filed under: Vibrio cyclitrophicus
Lineage: Bacteria; Pseudomonadati; Pseudomonadota; Gammaproteobacteria; Vibrionales; Vibrionaceae
Description: bacterial SSU rRNA
Rfam family: Bacterial small subunit ribosomal RNA
Source: RNAcentral